AUGCCGUUCGCCGGGGCCGUCCCCUUCACGGUCCUUCUUCUCCUCGCCGUCUUCUCCGCCGAGGAGCAGCCGUUCAAAGGCCUCGUGCCCGAGAACCGGAGCGUGGUCUUUGCCGGCAGCAACAUCACCGCCACGGCCGGCGCGGCGGCGAUGUGCUACCGAAGGAGCGGCGUCGGCGAAGAGGCCAAUCCGGGCAAGACGGUCCUCGACGUGGCCCCGCUCGCCGUGUGCCCUUCUCCUGCAAUUAGUAAGGGGUUGAGCGGGCGAGCAAAGGCAUGGUGCUGCUGGGGCCUCGCCGUGGCGAUGACGAUGGUCGUUUUCGUUGUGUGGCCAGAGACGUUCAUCGUAUCGCCCAUAGACCCCAACUUCACCGGUGAUGACGCGUCGGUGGUAGAUGGCGACGGCGACCGCGAGCUCUUCGACUGCGCCAUCUGCAUGGAGACGGUGCCCGGCGUCCUCAAGUUAAGCGUCGGCUCGUGCGGCCACGCCUUCUGCUCGAGCUGCGUCGUCCAGUACGUCGCGGCUAAGCUGGGCGAGAACGUCGCCUGCGUCAAAUGCCCCGACCCCGGCUGCAAGGAGGGUGCCGUCGAGCCGGAGAGCUGCUUCGGCAUCCUCUCCUCGGACCUGCUCGACAAGUGGGGUUUCCUGCUGUGCGAGUCCUUGCUCGGCGCCAAAACGGUGUACUGUCCAUACAGGGAAUGCUCAGCGCCUCUUCUCGCCGACGGCGAGGCCGGUGCGGCGGCGAUCGCGGAGGCCGAGUGCCCGCACUGCCACAGGCUGUUCUGCGCCCGGUGCGCCGCUCCGUGGCACGCCGGCGUCGGGUGCAGGGAGUUUCAGGAGCUCGGGCAGGACGAGCGAGGCCGGGAGGACCUCCUGCUGAGGACGCUCGCCGGACGGCAGAGGUGGCAGCGGUGCCCCAAGUGCAGGAUGUAUGUGGAGAAAUCGGAGGGAUGCAACUACAUCAAAUGCAGGUGUGGAAACAGCUUCUGCUACCGAUGUGCAUCCAAGGUGUCCGCGCUAACCCAUUACUGCAACAAGUGCAAGCGCUAG
This 1050-nucleotide ribosomal RNA is filed under the name Triticum aestivum (bread wheat). Its description in RNAcentral is "partial small subunit ribosomal RNA". Lineage: Eukaryota; Viridiplantae; Streptophyta; Magnoliopsida; Poales; Poaceae. The record is from RNAcentral.